Long non-coding RNA from Pan troglodytes (chimpanzee), 1295 nucleotides. RefSeq lists it as uncharacterized. The record is from RefSeq and is a predicted model, not a curated record. NCBI's taxonomy places the organism in Eukaryota, Metazoa, Chordata, Mammalia, Primates, Hominidae. The transcript is spliced from 3 exons.
GCUAAAGGCAUAGUCAAGGUUAAUGCUCCUUUUUCUUUAUCCCAAAUCAGAUAGCAUUUAGGCUCUUUUUCAUCAAAUAUAAAAAUCCAGCCCAGUUCAUGACUCGUUUGGCAGCAACCCUGAGACACUUUACAGCCCUAGACCCUAAAAGGUCAAAAGGCCGUCUUAUUCUCAAUAUACAUUUUAUUAGCCAAUCUGCUCCCGACAUUAAAUAAAACUCCAAAAAUUAAAUUCCGGCCCUCAAACCCCACAACAGGAUUUAAUUAACCUCACCUUCAAGGUGUACAAUAAUAGAAAAAAGUUGCAAUUCCUUGCCUCCACUGUGAGACAAACCCCAGCCACAUCUCCAGCACACAAGAACUUCCAAACACCUGAACCGCAGCAGCCAGGCGUUCCUCCAGAACCUCCUCCCACAGGAGCUUGCUACACGUGCCGGAAAUCUGGCCACUGGGCCAAGGAAUGCCCGCAGCCCAGGAUUCCUCCUAAGCCGCGUCCCAUCUCUGUGGGACCCCACUGAAAAUCGGACUGUUCAACUCACCUGGCAGCCACUCCCAGAGCCCCUGGAACUCUGGCCCAAGGCUCUCUGACUGACUCCUUCCCAGAUCUUCUCGGCUUAGCGGCUGAAGACUGACACUGCCCGAUCGCCUCGGAAGCCCCCUAGACCAUCACGGACGCCGAGCUUCCUCCGGUAACUCUCACAGUGGAAGGCUAAAGUGUUAUGUAUGGCAAGAAAAGGCAGGGAGAAUUCAAGGCAGGGAGAAUUACAGAAGAGAGCGGCUUUGCUCACAGGUGUGGCCAAUGAAGACUUCACAGCCUAUUGGACCUAAGCUUCUUUCUUGAAGAAUUUGAGAUGAAUUGCUGAAGGACUUCUCUUACUGAAUUCUCCUCAGGGGAGUCUUAAUUCCAGGGGUGAGAGUACCAGAAGACAAAAGAGAAAACAAAACAAGAAAUCUUGCCCUUAGCAUGGAAGAGGAGGGAGAAGAAAGAGAAGGAAAGGCUGUGUCAGGAAGUCCAGAGCACACCUGAAUGCAGAUCAGUUGCUAUGAGACCAGGCCAAAAAGUUCAGGCCAGACAAAUCCCACAGAACCAAGGAGAUUCCAGCUGGGCACGGUGGCUCACGCCUGUAAUCCCAGCACUUUGGGAGGCCGAGACGGGUGGAUCACCUGAGGUCAGGAGUUCAAGACCAGCCUGGCCAACAUGGCGAGACCCUGUCUCUACUAAAAAUACAAAAAUUAGCUGGGCAUGGUGGCAGGUGCCUGUAAUCCCAGCUACUCGGGAGGUUGAGGCAGGAAAAU